Molecule: small RNA, 683 nt
Filed under: Pan troglodytes (chimpanzee)
Lineage: Eukaryota; Metazoa; Chordata; Mammalia; Primates; Hominidae
Description: processed transcript
Source: RNAcentral
UGGAGCAGCAGCGCUCCCGCCAAGUGCUUCGAGUACUACGAAAAGACACCUCUGACUCUGUCACAGCUCUGCAGGGUGAGCUUGAGGAAGGCCACUGGCGUCCGAGGGCUGGAGAAGAUUGCCAAGUUAAACAUCCCGCCCCGGCUCAUUGAUUACCUCUCCUACAACUGAAUUGCAGGUCACGCCUGUCCUGGAGACAGUGUGCCCGGAAAAGGGAACGUAGUACUCACUGGAUGCACCCAGGCCGGCCCGAGCCUCCCACCGCAGACAGUGUGGAACAGAGUGAGCCUGAGCUGCCCAAGGCGAUGCCCUUCGUGCUGUAUGACUGGAGGCCUCUCCGCGUGGGUACUUGGGGGUGGGGCCACAAAUCUGGCGAAAAACUUCAUGCUGGCCGCCGUGAGGUUUUUCUCCAGCGUUCCCGCCAUUGUCAUGGCGGGUCUUCAUCCUAAACUGAGAAGAAAAACAUUCCUGUUUGAUCACCGCCUUAGUUACCAGUUCUGGAUCAGUCAGUGUUUCUGCAUGGAAUAACAACCAUUAAAAAAAGCACUGGGUUCUGCCCUUUCAUCUUUGUAAGAGAUUCUUGCCUCUAGCAAUGACAUCCUGUGAUGUCUCACAGUAGAGCACUUAGCGCAGAAUCAGGUCCCCACGGCUGUUGCUCAAUAAAAGUGGCGGAAUAAAGUGCA